RNAcentral lists this ribosomal RNA (272 nucleotides) under Vibrio cholerae. Its description in RNAcentral is "partial 23S ribosomal RNA". It matches the Rfam family "Bacterial large subunit ribosomal RNA", at positions 1198 to 1475 of the family's 2925-position model. Lineage: Bacteria; Pseudomonadati; Pseudomonadota; Gammaproteobacteria; Vibrionales; Vibrionaceae. The record is from RNAcentral.
AGCUGCGGCAAUGUCUUUUAGACAUUGGGUAGGGGAGCGUUCUGUAAGCCGUUGAAGGUGAAUCGUAAGGUUUGCUGGAGGUAUCAGAAGUGCGAAUGCUGACAUGAGUAACGACAAAGGGGGUGAAAAACCUCCUCGCCGGAAGACCAAGGGUUCCUGUCCAACGUUAAUCGGGGCAGGGUGAGUCGACCCCUAAGGUGAGGCCGAAAGGCGUAAUCGAUGGGAAACGGGUUAAUAUUCCCGUACUUCUGACUAUUGCGAUGGGGGGACGG